UGCCUUACACAUGCAAGUCGAACGGCGCACGGGAGCAAUCCUGGUGGCGAGUGGCGAACGGGUGAGUAAUACAUCGGAACGUGUCCUGUAGUGGGGGAUAGCCCGGCGAAAGCCGGAUUAAUACCGCAUACGCUCUGCGGAGGAAAGCGGGGGAUCCUUCGGGACCUCGCGCUACAGGGGCGGCCGAUGGCAGAUUAGCUAGUUGGUGGGGUAAAGGCCUACCAAGGCGACGAUCUGUAGCUGGUCUGAGAGGACGACCAGCCACACUGGGACUGAGACACGGCCCAGACUCCUACGGGAGGCAGCAGUGGGGAAUUUUGGACAAUGGGCGCAAGCCUGAUCCAGCAAUGCCGCGUGUGUGAAGAAGGCCUUCGGGUUGUAAAGCACUUUUGUCCGGAAAGAAAACCGCCUGGCUAAUAUCCGGGCGGGAUGACGGUACCGGAAGAAUAAGCACCGGCUAACUACGUGCCAGCAGCCGCGGUAAUACGUAGGGUGCAAGCGUUAAUCGGAAUUACUGGGCGUAAAGCGUGCGCAGGCGGUUCGCUAAGACAGAUGUGAAAUCCCCGGGCUUAACCUGGGAACUGCAUUUGUGACUGGCGGGCUAGAGUAUGGCAGAGGGGGGUAGAAUUCCACGUGUAGCAGUGAAAUGCGUAGAGAUGUGGAGGAAUACCGAUGGCGAAGGCAGCCCCCUGGGCCAAUACUGACGCUCAUGCACGAAAGCGUGGGGAGCAAACAGGAUUAAAUACCCUGGUAGUCACGCCCUAAACGAUGUUCACUGGUUGUCGGGCCU
RNAcentral lists this ribosomal RNA (790 nucleotides) under Burkholderia sp. RP-B3. RNAcentral's name for it is "bacterial SSU rRNA". It matches the Rfam family "Bacterial small subunit ribosomal RNA", at positions 45 to 830 of the family's 1533-position model. The record is from RNAcentral. Lineage: Bacteria; Pseudomonadati; Pseudomonadota; Betaproteobacteria; Burkholderiales; Burkholderiaceae.